GAUAACCGAAGAUCACACCGGGAUUCAGGGUGGGGUUGGUGAUUAGACGAACAUCACCACCACCGGGGGCCCAAGUGUCGUAGACGCCACCGAAGAACAUGGCCUUGAAGACCAGUAGCAGGCAUCCAACGCCGAGAAGAAUCAAGUGAUAACCAAUGAUGUUGGUCAUCUGGUUCUUGUCACGCCA
Synechococcus sp. RS9916 is the source of this 187-nucleotide non-coding RNA. It matches the Rfam family "Antisense RNA which regulates isiA expression". NCBI's taxonomy places the organism in Bacteria, Bacillati, Cyanobacteriota, Cyanophyceae, Synechococcales, Synechococcaceae. The record is from Rfam.